This 322-nucleotide ribosomal RNA is filed under the name Photobacterium carnosum. Its description in RNAcentral is "bacterial SSU rRNA". It matches the Rfam family "Bacterial small subunit ribosomal RNA", at positions 1 to 313 of the family's 1533-position model. The record is from RNAcentral. Lineage: Bacteria; Pseudomonadati; Pseudomonadota; Gammaproteobacteria; Vibrionales; Vibrionaceae.
ACUUUAAUUGAAGAGUUUGAUCAUGGCUCAGAUUGAACGCUGGCGGCAGGCCUAACACAUGCAAGUCGAGCGGUAACAGAUUGAUAGCUUGCUAUCAAUGCUGACGAGCGGCGGACGGGUGAGUAAUGCCUGGGAAUAUACCCUGAUGUGGGGGAUAACUAUUGGAAACGAUAGCUAAUACCGCAUAAUCUCUUGGGAGCAAAGAGGGGGACCUUCGGGCCUCUCGCGUCAGGAUUAGCCCAGGUGGGAUUAGCUAGUUGGUGGGGUAAUGGCUCACCAAGGCGACGAUCCCUAGCUGGUCUGAGAGGAUGAUCAGCCACAC